Molecule: ribosomal RNA, 460 nt
Filed under: uncultured bacterium
Lineage: Bacteria
Description: partial 16S ribosomal RNA
Rfam family: Bacterial small subunit ribosomal RNA
Source: RNAcentral
CCUACGGGAGGCAGCAGUGAGGAAUAUUGGUCAAUGGGCGCGAGCCUGAACCAGCCAAGUAGCGUGAAGGAUGACUGCCCUACGGGUUGUAAACUUCUUUUAUAAAGGAAUAAAGUGAGGCACGUGUGCCUUUUUGUAUGUACUUUAUGAAUAAGGAACGGCUAACUCCGUGCCAGCAGCCGAGGUAAUACGGAGGAUCCGAGCGUUAUCCGGAUUUAUUGGGUUUAAAGGGAGCGUAGAUGGGUUGGUAAGGCAGUUGUGAAAGUUUGCGGCUCAACCGUUAAAUUGCAAUUGAUACUGGCCGUCUUGAGUACAGUUGAGGUCGGCGGAAUUCGUGGUGGAGCGGUGAAAUGCUUAGAUAUCACGAAGAACUCCGAGUUCGAAGGCCGCUUACUAAACUGCCACUGACAUUGAUGCUCGAAAGUGUGGGUAUCAAACAGGAUUAGAUACCCUAGUAGUC